This 423-nucleotide ribosomal RNA is filed under the name Campylobacter gracilis. RNAcentral describes it as "bacterial SSU rRNA". It matches the Rfam family "Bacterial small subunit ribosomal RNA", at positions 29 to 449 of the family's 1533-position model. Lineage: Bacteria; Pseudomonadati; Campylobacterota; Epsilonproteobacteria; Campylobacterales; Campylobacteraceae. The record is from RNAcentral.
AGUGAACGCUGGCGGCGUGCCUAAUACAUGCAAGUCGAACGGAAUUUAAAAGAGCUUGCUCUUUUAAAUUUAGUGGCGCACGGGUGAGUAAUAUAUAGCUAAUCUGCCCCUUGCUGGAGGACAACAGUUAGAAAUGACUGCUAAUACUCCAUACUCCUUUUUACCAUAAGAUAAAUCGGGAAAGAAUUUCGGCAAGGGAUAAGACUAUAUCGUAUCAGCUAGUCGGUGGGGUAACGGCCUACCGAGGCUAUGACGCGUAACCGGUCUGAGAGGAUGAUCAGUCACAUUGGAACUGAGACACGGUCCAAACUCCUACGGGAGGCAGCAGUAGGGAAUAUUGCGCAAUGGGGGAAACCCUGACGCAGCAACGCCGCGUGGAGGAUGACACUUUUCGGAGCGUAAACUCCUUUUGUUAGGGAAGAA